Molecule: ribosomal RNA, 925 nt
Filed under: uncultured organism
Description: bacterial SSU rRNA
Rfam family: Bacterial small subunit ribosomal RNA
Source: RNAcentral
UGAUCCAGACUUUGAUCAUGGCUCAGGAUGAACGCUAGCUACAGGCUUAACACAUGCAAGUCGAGGGGAAACGAUAUUGGAAGCUUGCUUCCGAUAGGCGUCGACCGGCGCACGGGUGAGUAACGCGUAUCCAACCUGCCCACCACUUGGGGAUAACCUUGCGAAAGUAAGACUAAUACCCAAUGAUAUCUCAAGAAGACAUCUGAAUGAGAUUAAAGAUUUAUCGGUGAUGGAUGGGGAUGCGUCUGAUUAGCUUGUUGGCGGGGUAACGGCCCACCAAGGCGACGAUCAGUAGGGGUUCUGAGAGGAAGGUCCCCCACAUUGGAACUGAGACACGGUCCAAACUCCUACGGGAGGCAGCAGUGAGGAAUAUUGGUCAAUGGGCGAGAGCCUGAACCAGCCAAGUAGCGCGCAGGAUGACGGCCCUAUGGGUUGUAAACUGCUUUUAUAAGGGAAUAAAGUGAGCCUCGUGAGGCUUUUUGCAUGUACCUUAUGAAUAAGGACCGGCUAAUUCCGUGCCAGCAGCCGCGGUAAUACGGAAGGUCCGGGCGUUAUCCGGAUUUAUUGGGUUUAAAGGGAGCGUAGGCCGGAGAUUAAGCGUGUUGUGAAAUGUAGACGCUCAACGUCUGCACUGCAGCGCGAACUGGUUUCCUUGAGUACGCACAAAGUGGGCGGAAUUCGUGGUGUAGCGGUGAAAUGCUUAGAUAUCACGAAGAACUCCGAUUGCGAAGGCAGCUCACUGGAGCGCAACUGACGCUGAAGCUCGAAAGUGCGGGUAUCGAACAGGAUUAGAUACCCUGGUAGUCCGCACGGUAAACGAUGGAUGCCCGCUGUUGGUCUGAAUAGGUCAGCGGCCAAGCGAAAGCAUUAAGCAUCCCACCUGGGGAGUACGCCGGCAACGGUGCAACUCAAAUGAAUUGACGGA